UACGGGGGGGGCAAGCGUUGUUCGGAAUUACUGGGCGUAAAGGGCUCGUAGGUGGCCAACUAAGUCAGACGUGAAAUCCCCAGGCUCAACCUGGGAACUGCGUCCGAUACUGGAUGGCUUGAAUUCGGGAGAGGGAUGCAGAAUUCCAGGUGUAGCGGUGAAAUGCGUAGAUAUCUGGAGGAAUACCGGUGGCGAAGGCGGCAUCCUGGACCGACAUUGACGCUGAUGAGCGAAAGCCAGGGGAGCAAACGGG
Molecule: ribosomal RNA, 253 nt
Filed under: uncultured bacterium
Lineage: Bacteria
Description: partial 16S ribosomal RNA
Rfam family: Bacterial small subunit ribosomal RNA
Source: RNAcentral